GACGAACGCUGGCGGCGUGCUUAACACAUGCAAGUCGAACGGAAAGGCCCUGCUUUUGUGGGGUGCUCGAGUGGCGAACGGGUGAGUAACACGUGAGUAACCUGCCCUUGUCUUUGGGAUAACUUCAGGAAACUGGGGCUAAUACCGGAUAGGAGCUCCUGCUGCAUGGUGGGGGUUGGAAAGUUUCGGCGGUUGGGGAUGGACUCGCGGCUUAUCAGCUUGUUGGUGGGGUAGUGGCUUACCAAGGCUUUGACGGGUAGCCGGCCUGAGAGGGUGACCGGCCACAUUGGGACUGAGAUACGGCCCAGACUCCUACGGGAGGCAGCAGUGGGGAAUAGUGCACAAUGGGCGGAAGCCUGAUGCAGCAACGCCGCGUGCGGGAUGACGGCCUUCGGGGUGUAAACCGCUUUCGCCUGUGACGAAGCGUGAGUGACGGUAAUGGGUAAAGAAGCACCGGCUAACUACGU
RNAcentral lists this ribosomal RNA (467 nucleotides) under uncultured bacterium. RNAcentral's name for it is "partial 16S ribosomal RNA". It matches the Rfam family "Bacterial small subunit ribosomal RNA", at positions 28 to 506 of the family's 1533-position model. The record is from RNAcentral.